Molecule: long non-coding RNA, 235 nt
Organism: Juglans microcarpa x Juglans regia
Lineage: Eukaryota; Viridiplantae; Streptophyta; Magnoliopsida; Fagales; Juglandaceae
Exons: 3
Source: RefSeq, a predicted model, not a curated record
AUCUCAUCUUCCUCUCUUGCUUGGUGUUUUUUUGUCUACAGUGCAGAUUUCUUUUGUUGUGUGAUUUUUUUUGUGCUGCAUUUUCGUUAGUCCCUGAAGCCUUGUAACCAUCGAAGCCCACCACUUGUGACACUGUCGUUCGCCAGUGACGAAACUGAUAGAGGUCGUUUUCAAGGUAUAAAUAAUAUGCUGCAGGAGUCAGGUAAGCGGAGUUCCUAUGCUAGGCUUUAUACAA